Molecule: unclassified non-coding RNA, 404 nt
Filed under: soil metagenome
Description: partial contains 5.8S ribosomal RNA, internal transcribed spacer 2, and large subunit ribosomal RNA
Rfam family: 5.8S ribosomal RNA (bases 1-121)
Source: RNAcentral
GAUGAAGAACGUAGCGAAAUGCGAUAAGUAACGUGAAUUGCAGAAUUCAGUGAAUCAUCGAAUCUUUGAACGCACCUUGCGCCCUUUGGCUAUUCCGAAGGGCAUGCCUGUUUGAGUAUCAUGAACACCUCAACUCUCAUGGUUUGCCAUGAUGAGCUUGGACUCUGGGGGUCUUGCUGGCUUAUGGUCAGCUCCUCUUAAAUGAAUCAGCUUUCCAGUGUUUGGUGGCAUCACAGGUGUGAUAACUAUCUACGCUUGUGGUGUCCUCCCAGGUAACCUUCAGCAAUGGAGGUUGCUGGAGCUAAUAAAUGCACAUCUCUCAUUGUGGAGAUGGCCUUUUAGAUGUUUGAUCUCAAAUCAGGAAGGACUACCCGCUGAACUUAAGCAUAUCAAUAAGCGGAGGA